GAAGAUUUAUCGCCGGAAAGAUCGGCCCGCGUCUGAUUAGCUAGUUGGUGAGGUAACGGCUCACCAAGGCGACGAUCAGUAGCUGGUCUGAGAGGAUGAUCAGCCACAUUGGGACUGAGACACGGCCCAAACUCCUACGGGAGGCAGCAGUGGGGAAUAUUGGACAAUGGGCGCAAGCCUGAUCCAGCCAUGCCGCGUGAGUGAUGAAGGCCCUAGGGUUGUAAAGCUCUUUUGUGCGGGAAGAUAAUGACGGUACCGCAAGAAUAAGCCC
This 271-nucleotide ribosomal RNA is filed under the name uncultured soil bacterium. Its description in RNAcentral is "partial 16S ribosomal RNA". It matches the Rfam family "Bacterial small subunit ribosomal RNA", at positions 202 to 493 of the family's 1533-position model. The record is from RNAcentral.